UCGGCGCUGCGAAGUGCGCGAUGCGUGUAAGAUCCCCGGGGCCAACGUUCAUACUCGGGAGCUGUCCCUGCCGGGCUCGUGGGCUCGGCACAUGGCGCCCACCUAGUCUCUAGGGCCUAGGAGGAUUUGACGCGAACGGCUUAUGCGGCGCCGCC
Molecule: non-coding RNA, 155 nt
Filed under: Rhodospirillaceae bacterium
Lineage: Bacteria; Pseudomonadati; Pseudomonadota; Alphaproteobacteria; Rhodospirillales; Rhodospirillaceae
Also listed under: 1 other name
Description: 6S RNA
Rfam family: 6S / SsrS RNA
About the family: E. coli 6S RNA was the first non coding RNA to be sequenced, but its function was unknown until recently. It consists of 184 nucleotides that fold into an extended hairpin structure with a large single-stranded internal bulge.
Source: RNAcentral